Non-coding RNA from Immersiella caudata, 101 nucleotides. Lineage: Eukaryota; Fungi; Ascomycota; Sordariomycetes; Sordariales; Lasiosphaeriaceae. The record is from the annotation of a GenBank genome assembly.
GCCCGGCUAGCUCAAUCGGUAGAGCGUGAGACUCUUAUGAAGAUGUCUUUCAUAUCUCAGGGUUCAUCUCAAGGUUGUGGGUUCGACCCCCACGUUGGGCU